RNAcentral lists this ribosomal RNA (448 nucleotides) under uncultured bacterium. RNAcentral's name for it is "bacterial SSU rRNA". It matches the Rfam family "Bacterial small subunit ribosomal RNA", at positions 93 to 554 of the family's 1533-position model. The record is from RNAcentral.
AUUUGGCGGACGGGUGAGUAACGCGUGGGCAACCUGGCCUUAAGAAAAGGAUAGCCCCCGGAAACGGGGAGUAAUACUUUAUGAGAAUGAAAGAGGGCAUCCUACUUUCAUUCAAAGCGCAAGCGCUUAAGGAUGGGCCCGCGUAUCAUUAGCUAGUUGGUGAGAUAACAGCCCACCAAGGCAACGAUGAUUAGCCGGUCUGAGAGGGCGAACGGCCACAUUGGAACUGAGAGACGGUCCAAACUCCUACGGGAGGCAGCAGUGGGGAAUAUUGCGCAAUGGAGAAGAACUCUGACGCAGCAAUACCGCGUGAGCGAAGAAGGUCUUCGGAUCGUAAAGCUCUGUUAUCAGGGAAGAAGAAAAUGACGGUACCUGAUGAGCAAGUCCCGGCUAACUACGUGCCAGCAGCCGCGGUAAUACGAAGGGUGCCAGCAGCCGCGGUAAUAAU